Molecule: RNA transcript, 1797 nt
Organism: Prunus dulcis (almond)
Lineage: Eukaryota; Viridiplantae; Streptophyta; Magnoliopsida; Rosales; Rosaceae
Gene name: altered inheritance rate of mitochondria protein 25
Exons: 12
Source: RefSeq, a predicted model, not a curated record
UAGAUACUAGAGUAGAGGGCAAGCUCGGACGAAAAAGAAAGAACGAAAAGAGAAAAAUUAGAGGGAAAGCUUGGAACUUGAUCGGAGAGAGAGAAAGAGAGAGAAAGGGACCUGAACUGGAAUUGUAAUAGAUUAUAGAUGAAUUGGACAAGGUUUUCCACCAAGGUUUACAAAGCUACUGCAGCAGAUUCCAAAUGCGGUUCGUCAUUCUGUUAUACUCGAAAACCCCAUCAGAAAGCUAUUCACGACACUCAAAGAGGAAGUCUACCGGCAACUUCAUGGCCUCAGGAUGGAGUUGGUGCUGCUACUACUGCGGCUACAGAUUUUCGAGAUUUUGAACAGAGGUUCAUUGUUGCAAGAAAUGUCAUUUGGAGGUUUAAAGGAAAUUCCAUGUGGUCUAAACAGAGCCCGGUAUCUUUGUCUCGUCAAUUUGGACACAAGGCUGGUACUGGUCGUGAUCCUGACUUGACUAGGGACUUCCUUGUACAGCUCUGGGUUGCAGAUAGGAAAACGGAACACUCCAAAAGAAAGAGAAGAGGGAAAGCUGUUAAGUAUAGAAAAGAAACACCAUACCACUAUUCAUCCUAUGGAUGGUAUCCGGAUGCAUUUUUCAAUGCAGCAGACCCUUCUGGCCAACCACCUCUAAGCCAAUCCAUCUCGGGAUUUCUGAAACCAGAAUCUCCAGAAGAGGUCCAGGUGAUGCCUCUUCUUGCUAGAUCAAAUAUGCUGAUUACGAGGGAUAUAGAGUGGGCAAAUCUUGUACUUGGCUUUGAGCAGGAAAACCGGUAUGGAAUAGUAGAUGUGUGCUACCCAGAGUCGCCUGUGGGUUUGAUUCGUGAGCAGAGCCAUGUUAUUACUAGACAGUUGCUUCGCCUGAGGCGCCCUUUUGUUGCUUAUAUAACUGAUGCCAUGGGUAAUGAGCUCUUUAGGGUUCGCAGGCCUUUUUGGUGGAUAACCAGCUCAAUUUAUGCAGAGAUCAAUGGCAAGGAAGUUGGUGUGGUUCACAGACGAUGGCAUCUUUGGAAGAGGGUGUAUGAUUUGUACCUGGGGGAUAAGCAGUUUGCAGUUGUUGAAAACCCUGGCUUCUGGAAUUGGACUUUUACUUUGAAGGACAUUGAUGGUGAAGUUUUGGCUCAGAUAGAUCGUGACUGGAGGGGUUUUGGCUUUGAGAUUUUUACUGAUGCGGGGCAAUAUGUGAUCCGUUUCGGGAGUUCUGAUCCCAGCUCCAAGACCGGUGCUGCUAGCUUGAUUGAAGAGUUGGAAGUCAGACGUCCACUGACUCUGUUGGAGAGAGCUGUAACUGUUGCUCUGGCUAUAUCGUUGGACAAUGACUAUUUCUCAAGACAUGGUGGAUGGUAAGCCAAUGACUAUUUCUUAAGACACCACGGCUUAGAAUGUUCAGUGGAAGUUCUGACUUUGGGGAUUACCUUUUGUUGAAGUAGGAGAGUAGGUCUGGCUGGCUGUGCAGAUGAAAAUCGAUGUGGUUACGUGGUCAUUCUUAAUACACGAGGGCUCAAGACAGGGCCCGGCCGCUUGUUAGAUGUGAUUCUAGCGGGGAUGCUAACGUUCUUGUUUCUUGGUGAAGACAUUAUUGUACCAUCGAGUCAUUGAAUAGCUUACUUUUUAUGAUCGAUUAGGAUGACUUGCAAAGACCAUAUCUUGGUAUUCUCUGCAGCACAAGAGACAUGCGCAAAACCUGAAAGAAGAGAACUUUGGUUAACUCUAAAUUGGAAUUUGGGUUUUGAUAGAUAAGUUGGAUCAUCCUAUAUCAAUGAACUAAAACAGAAGUUUUGAACA